AUUGAACGCUGGCGGCAUGCUUUACACAUGCAAGUCGAACGGCAGCGCGGGGGCAACCCUGGCGGCGAGUGGCGAACGGGUGAGUAAUGCAUCGGAACGUAUCCUGUAAUGGGGGAUAACGUAGCGAAAGUUACGCUAAUACCGCAUACGCUCGAGAGAGGAAAGUGGGGGAUCGCAAGACCUCACGUUAUAGGAGCGGCCGAUGUCCGAUUAGCUAGUUGGUGGGGUAAAGGCCUACCAAGGCAACGAUCGGUAGCUGGUCUGAGAGGAUGAUCAGCCACACUGGGACUGAGACACGGCCCAGACUCCUACGGGAGGCAGCAGUAGGGAAUUUGUAC
RNAcentral lists this ribosomal RNA (338 nucleotides) under uncultured bacterium. RNAcentral's name for it is "bacterial SSU rRNA". It matches the Rfam family "Bacterial small subunit ribosomal RNA", at positions 30 to 369 of the family's 1533-position model. The record is from RNAcentral.